GACGAACGCUGGCGGCGUGCUUAACACAUGCCAGUCGAACGGAAAGGCCCCCAUCUUGGUGGGGGUGCUCGAGUGGCGAACGGGUGAGUAACACGUGGGUGAUCUGCCCUGUACUUCGGGAUAAGCUUGGGAAACUGGGUCUAAUACCGGAUAGGACCAUGGUUUAGUGUCUCAUGGUGGAAAGAUUAUUGUUUUGGUGCAGGAUGAGCUCGCGGCCUAUCAGCUUGUUGGUGGGGUAAUGGCCUACCAAGGCGUCGACGGGUAGCCGGCCUGAGAGGGUGGACGGCCACAUUGGGACUGAGAUACGGCCCAGACUCCUACGGGAGGCAGCAGUGGGGAAUAUUGCACAAUGGGCGCAAGCCUGAUGCAGCGACGCCGCGUGGGGGAUGACGGCCUUCGGGUUGUAAACUCCUUUCGUUAGGGACGAAGCCGCACUUUUUUUGGGUGUGGUGACGGUACCUUUGUUAAGAAGCACCGGCUAACUACGUG
This 489-nucleotide ribosomal RNA is filed under the name uncultured bacterium. RNAcentral's name for it is "partial 16S ribosomal RNA". It matches the Rfam family "Bacterial small subunit ribosomal RNA", at positions 28 to 507 of the family's 1533-position model. The record is from RNAcentral.